UGGAACAGCUAUAAUGCAGUCGAACGAACUUCCGUUAAUUGAUUAUGACGUACUUGUACUGAUUGAGAUUUUAACACGAAGUGAGUGGCGAACGGGUGAGUAACACGUGGGUAACCUGCCCAGAAGUAGGGGAUAACACCUGGAAACAGAUGCUAAUACCGUAUAACAGAGAAAACCGCAUGGUUUUCUUUUAAAAGAUGGCUCUGCUAUCACUUCUGGAUGGACCCGCGGCGUAUUAGCUAGUUGGUGAGGUAAAGGCUCACCAAGGCAGUGAUACGUAGCCGACCUGAGAGGGUAAUCGGCCACAUUGGGACUGAGACACGGCCCAGACUCCUACGGGAGGCAGCAGUAGGGAAUCUUCCACAAUGGACGCAAGUCUGAUGGAGCAACGCCGCGUGAGUGAAGAAGGGUUUCGGCUCGUAAAGCUCUGUUGUUAAAGAAGAACGUGGGUAAGAGUAACUGUUUACCCAGUGACGGUAUUUAACCAGAAAGCCACGGCUAACUACGUGCCAGCAGCCGCGGUAAUACGUAGGUGGCAAGCGUUAUCCGGAUUUAUUGGGCGUAAAGCGAGCGCAGGCGGUCUUUUAAGUCUAAUGUGAAAGCCUUCGGCUCAACCGAAGAAGUGCAUUGGAAACUGGGAGACUUGAGUGCAGAAGAGGACAGUGGAACUCCAUGUGUAGCGGUGAAAUGCGUAGAUAUAUGGAAGAACACCAGUGGCGAAGGCGGCUGUCUGGUCUGCAACUGACGCUGAGGCUCGAAAGCAUGGGUAGCGAACAGGAUUAGAUACCCUGGUAGUCCAUGCCGUAAACGAUGAUUACUAAGUGUUGGAGGGUUUCCGCCCUUCAGGUGCUGCAGCUAACGCAUUAAGUAAUCCGCCUGGGGAGUACGACCGCAAGGUUGAAACUCAAAAGAAUUGACGGGGGGCCCGCAACAAGCGGUGGGAGCAUGUGGGUUUAAUUCGAAGGCUUACGCGAAGAACCUUUACCCAGGUCUUUGACAUCUUUCUGGACAGUCUAAGGAGAAUUUAGAGGAUUCCCAUUCGGGGGCACAGAAUGACCAGUUGAUUGCAUUGGAUUUGAUUCGUCCAGCUCCGAGUGAUUCGGUUGUGGAGU
RNAcentral lists this ribosomal RNA (1112 nucleotides) under Pediococcus pentosaceus. Its description in RNAcentral is "bacterial SSU rRNA". It matches the Rfam family "Bacterial small subunit ribosomal RNA", at positions 37 to 1089 of the family's 1533-position model. Lineage: Bacteria; Bacillati; Bacillota; Bacilli; Lactobacillales; Lactobacillaceae. The record is from RNAcentral.